AGUGAACGCUGGCGGUAGGCCUAACACAUGCAAGUCGAACGGCAGCACAGUAAGAUCUUGCUCUUACGGGUGGCGAGUGGCGGACGGGUGAGGAAUACAUCGGAAUCUACUUUUUCGUGGGGGAUAACGUAAGUAAACUUACGCUAAUACCGCAUACGACCUACGGGUGAAAGCAGGGGAUCUUCGGACCUUGCGCGAUUGAAUGAGCCGAUGUCGGAUUAGCUAGUUGGCGGGGUAAAGGCCCACCAAGGCGACGAUCCGUAGCUGGUCUGAGAGGAUGAUCAGCCACACUGGAACUGAGACACGGUCCAGACUCCUACGGGAGGCAGCAGUGGGGAAUAUUGGACAAUGGGCGCAAGCCUGAUCCAGCCAUACCGCGUGGGUGAAGAAGGCCUUCGGGUUGUAAAGCCCUUUUGUUGGGAAAGAAAAGCAGCAGGUUAAUACCCAGCUGUUCUGACGGUACCCAAAGAACAAGCACCGGCUAACUUCGUG
RNAcentral lists this ribosomal RNA (492 nucleotides) under uncultured bacterium. Its description in RNAcentral is "partial 16S ribosomal RNA". It matches the Rfam family "Bacterial small subunit ribosomal RNA", at positions 29 to 507 of the family's 1533-position model. The record is from RNAcentral.